GACGAACGCUGGCGGCGUGCUUAACACAUGCAAGUCGAACGGAAAGGCCCUGCUUUUGUGGGGUGCUCGAGUGGCGAACGGGUGAGUAACACGUGAGUAACCUGCCCUUGACUUUGGGAUAACUUCAGGAAACUGGGGCUAAUACCGGAUAGGAGCUCCUGCUGCAUGGUGGGGGUUGGAAAGUUUCGGCGGUUGGGGAUGGACUCGCGGCUUAUCAGCUUGUUGUUGGGGUAGUGGCUUACCAAGGCUUUGACGGGUAGCAGGCCUGAGAGGGUGACCAGCCACAUUGGGACUGAGAUACGGCGCAGACUCCUACGGGAGGCAGCAGUGGGGAAUAUUGCACAAUGGGCGGAAGACUGAUGCAGCAACGCCGCGUGCGGGAUGACGGCCUUCGGGUUGUGAACAGCUUUCGCCUGUGACGAAGCGUGAGUGACGGUAAUGGGUAAAGAAGCACCGGCUAACUACGUG
This 468-nucleotide ribosomal RNA is filed under the name uncultured bacterium. RNAcentral's name for it is "partial 16S ribosomal RNA". It matches the Rfam family "Bacterial small subunit ribosomal RNA", at positions 28 to 507 of the family's 1533-position model. The record is from RNAcentral.